UCCUUGGGCCUCAAGGGCACCAGGGCCUGACCCCAGCUCCCAGCAUGAAUAGGGUUGGUUUAAACCAGUCGGCAUGGCCCACAGUGACUGGUUUAGGCAUGGGCCUGUCACCCACACUGGGCCAAUGAUAUGUAAGAUGUUUAUUGUAGCUUCCGGGAUGGAAACUUCUCUGCCAGCUUGUGGGUUGGGCAAGGACGACACUCCGGGCCCUACCGGCGGAAGCUCUGCUCCUGUCGUGCGUGGACCACGCAGCAAAUGGCCUUGGAGGCUGCUGGCAGCCAUCUUGUGACCAUGAGGCAAGUCAGCGCAGGCCGAAGCUGACGACGCGAAGACAAUGAGGAGAGGGAGAAAGAGCCGAUCUUUGAGUAAAGGAGGCUGGGCGUGGUGGCUCACGCCUGUAAUCCCAGCACUUUGGGAGGCCGAGGCAGGCGGAUCACCUGAGCUCAGGAGUUCAAGACCAGCCUGGCCAACAUGGUGAAACCCCGUCUCUAGUAAAAAUACAAAAAUUAGCCCGGCAUCAUGGAGUGUGCCUGUAGUCCCAGCUACUCAGGAGGCUGACGCGGGACCCUCGCCUGAACCUGGGAGGUAGAGGUUGCGGUGAGCCAAGAUCGCACCAUUGCAUUCCAGCCUGGGCACGAAGCGAGACUCCGUCAAAAAAAAAAAAAAAAAUUAAAGAAUAAAAUUUCUGCAGGCAUCUCAACAGCUACAGAAACAGCAUUUUGUGCAAUUCAAUACUGAUUUGCAGGGGCCAGGGGUCAUGGCUCAUGCCUGCAAUCCCAGCACUUUGGGAGACCAAGGCAGGUGGAUCCCUUGGGCUCAAGAGUUCAAGAUCAGCCUGGGCAAUGUAGCAAAACCCCAUCUAAAAAAAUAAGAAAAUAUUAGGCAAGCAUGGUGCAUAUGUGCACAGGGCGCACACCUGUGGUCCCAGCUACUGGGGGUCUGAGGUGGGAGGAUUGCUUGAGCCCAGGAGGUUGAGGCUACAGUGAGCCGUGAUGGUGGCCCUGGACUCCAGCCUGGGCAACAGAGUGCAACCCCGUCUCAAAAAAGAAAAAUACUCAUUUGCAACUUUUAUUUUUUUAAUUAAAAAAAAAUUUAAUUUAUUUAUAUUUUUGGGGACAGAGUCUCGCUAUGUCACCCAGGCUGCAGUGCGAUGGCAUGAUCUCAGCUCACUGCAACCUCCACCUUCUGAGUUCAAGUGAUUCUCCUGCCUCAGCCUCCUGAAUAGCUGGAAUUACAGGUGACCGCCACCAUGCCUGGCUAAUUUUUGUAUUUUUAGUAGAGACGGGGAUUCACCAUGUUGGCCAGGCUGGUCUCGAACUCCUGACCUCGUGAUCCACCCAUCUCAACCUCCCAAAGUGCUGGGGUUACAGGAGUGAGCCACCGUGCCUGGCCUCAUUUGCAAUUUUUAAAAAUUGCUUUGCAAUGCCGGGCGCGGUGGCUUACGCCUGUAAUCUCAGCACUUUGGGAGGCCGAGGUGGGCACAUCAUGAGGUCAGAUCGAGACGAUCCCGGCUAACACGGUGAAACCCCAUCUCUACUAAAAAUACAAAAAAAAAAAUAGCUGGGCAUGGCGGCGUGUGCCUAUUAUCCCAGCUGCUGGGGAGGCUGAAGCAGGAGAAUGGCGUGAACCCGGGAGGCGGAGCUUGCAGUAAGCUGAGAUCGCGCCACCGCACCCCAGCCUGGGUGACAGAGCAAGACUCCAUCUCAAAAAAAAAAAAAAUUGCUUUGCAACCUAGUAGUAGAAGAACAAUUCCUUGAUCUGAUAAAGAGCAUUCCCUUAACAAGAUAUAGCAAAAUUUAAAACCCGUGAAUUAUAGAAAAGAUACACAUUUGAUUAUAUAAUAUUUUUAAAAAUAUGCAUGGCACAAGACUCUAUAAACAAAUAUACACAAUGGAAGCCAUGGUGGGAGGUAUCGGCCAGGGCCACGUCUGAGUCCUUGGCAGAGCUGGGUCACGCAGUGAAGAGCUGGGAGGGGCCUGGACAGGGCAGCAGUGGGUCAGGUUUGGGCUUAAAGAAGACGUCCCAGCUGGUGGUUCUUCAAACAAUUAAACAUACAGUGGCCGUGCAACCCAGCAAUGCCACUCCUAGGUGAGGACCCAAGAUAAAUGAAGACGUCCGGCCAGGCGCAUUGGCUCACACCUGUAAUCCCAGCACUUUGGGAGCCUUAGACAGAUGGAUCACUUUCAGCUCAGGAAUUAAAGACCAGCCUGGGCAACACAGGGAGACCCUGUCUCGUUAAAAAAUACAAAAAUUGCCAGGCGUGGUGGCUCAUGCCUGUAAUCCCAGCACUUUGGGAGGCCGAGGCAGGCGGAUCACCUGAGGUCAGUAGUUUGAGACCAGCCUGAUGAACAUGGUGAAACCCCGUCUCUACUAGAAAUAGAAAAAUUAGCUGGACGUGGUGACUAACACCUGUAAUCCCAGCUACUCAGGAGGCUGAGGCAGAAGCGCUUGAACCUGGGAAGCGGAGGUUGCAGUGAGCCGAGAUCACGCCAUUGCACUCCAGCCUGGGCAACAAGAUGAAACUCCAUCUCAAAAAAAAAAAAAAAAAUUAGCUGGGCAUCGUUGUCUUGUGCCUGCGGUGCCAGCUAUUCUGGAGGCUGAGAUUGGAGAAUCAUUUGUGCCCAGUGAAGCAGAGGUGGCAGUGAGCCAAGAUCAUGCCACUGCGCUCCAGCUUGGGUGACAGAGUGAGACUCUGUCUCAAAAAAAAAAAGAGUCUACAUAAAACAUUGUGCGCGCCUGUGCAUAGCAGCACAUCCAUAAUCACAGAGAGGCGGAAACAGCUGUGUCCAUCAACAGAGGUUGGUCACACAGGGGGUCCUGUGCCCAAUGCAGUGGACUCUUGGGCCUUAGAAUGAAGUUCUGAUCCACACGGCAGCACCGACGGACCUUGGGCACUGUGCUGUGUGAAAUAAGCAGACAGAUGCUGUGUGGCAGCACUUACAGGGGCAUCCUGAGCGACUUUGUGGAGACAGCUCUUAGGGCUGGGGAGGGAGGGAUGCGGGAAGGGGGCGGGAGCUGGAGGGUGGAGGGCUCUUUCUGAGAUGAGGAAAUGAUCUAAAACUGCCUGCGGUGACGGCUGCACAGCUCUGAAGAUGCAGAAACUCGCUGAGCUGGACGCAUUCUGAAUUGUGUGGUAUGUGAAUUAUGUCUCAGUAAAGCCAUUAAAAAAAAACACCCAGGAGCCAGGCGCAGUGGCUCAUGCCUAUAAUCCCAGCACUUUGGGAGGCGGAGGCAGGCGGAUCAUCUGAGGUCAGGAGUUGGAGACCAGCCUGACCAACAUGGUGUAACCUCGUCUCUGCUAAAAUACAAAAAUUAGCUGGGUGUUGUGGCGGGCACCUUUAAUCCUGGCUACUUGGGAGGCUGAGGCAGGAGAAUUGCUUGAACCUGGGAACGGGAGGUUGCAGUGAGCCAAGAUCGCGCCAUUGCACUCCAGCCUGGGCGACAGAGCGAGACUCCGUCUCAAAAAAACAAAACAAAACAAAACAGCCAGGCAACCAAGUAGACAAUGGAGGGAGGGGGUGACAGCUGAGGACGCCCAUUGUCUGCUGGUGCUCCAGGCGGUGCUCCCCACUCCCAGCCCAGUCGCCCCCUGCUCCUGGCCUGGAUUUGAGGCCUAGAGAGACACCUGCCCUCCCCCGGAUCCGUGCCCCGCAGAAGUGCAGUCUUGGUGCCCAAAUGUGCGCCCGCUGGGGCAGAGGAGAAUCCGCGGGGCCUGAAGCAGAAUCGCGCCCUCCCCCCAACCUGCCGGCUGCCCGGGCGCUCCCCAUGGGCCCAGACGCAGGAGACAAAGGAGAACAUGGGGGUUCAGGUAUGCACUGGGGCGCAGACAGGGCCAGGCAAGACAAGAGGGCAGGGCUGCCGGGAAGGACGAGUGCCUCGGGAGCCUCUCUGCAGGUGAGACACAGGUUGAAGCAUUGACUGAUUUGUUCUCUCGCAGUGAGGCAGGAGAGGAGGGAAUAAUUGGGGUGACCCAGGGUUGAGGCGUGAGCAAGAGAACAGCAAAGGCAGCUGGUUCUGGGUAACACUGGGCCUCACUCCUAUGGUAACAAGACAGUUUCCACUUCAGCCUCUGAUUGGCUGUGAGCCAGUCCUUCAUAAGGAGUCACCAGUUGGAGGCCUCUAAAGGGCACCUGGGGUGUUACCAAAUUCUCCUGGCUUCCUAAAAACCCUGGGGAGCACUGCCAUAGAGGCUCUGGGGCCGCCUGCUCCGCCCGCUGCCUCUCUGUGAAUUGCACCUUGUGGUCUUCAAUGAAUCUGUGCUUUCGUCACUCCGUUUUUUGCUUGUCUUGUCUUUCGUUACUUCAUUCUUUUGUUGCUUUCUUUGUGCGUGUUCAAUUCUUUGUUCUGCACACAAGAACCUAAACAACUCACAGUCGAGACCUUCCAACCAGUAACACCAGCGGCCCCUCCCCUGGGAAGCCUCCAGAGGACGGGAGGCUGCCUGUAAAAGCUGAAGAGUCCUGAGUCUUCUGCGUGAUUCCAGAGACUCCUGGGAUGCCCUGGGGUGGGGGGCAGGGGAACGCUGGGGCACGGGUGGACCCAGGAAAGAGACGUGUAGAGCGCCUUGCCCCACCACCCUCCUCCCAGGCCAUGUCAUCUGCCACCCAGGCCAGGGCUACACCUCACCUGCCACUCAGGCCAUACCAUACCCUCACCUGUUGCCCAGGCCACACCCACAUCCUCACCUGUUGCCCCUCCUCCUUGCGGCCCAGGAGGUCUCUGAAGAUGCAGGCUCUACCUUCUGCCCGGCCCCCAGCCCUCCACCCGAGAAGUGGAUGUGAAGUCACUCUGUGCAUCUCCGCCCCUUUCCCACCCAUUGGCCCUUGCCCUGCUCAGGGUCCCACGCUCUUCCCUCCUCCUGCCCCUCGUGGCCCCUCCUGUCUGCCCUGGCCCCCCCACACAUCCAGGGGGCAGUUUGCUUCCUCCACUGACCUCCCCUCUCUGUGACAUUAUCUGUUUUUACAAACUUCAGGCAUCUAAGCCGGGCACAUUGGCCCAAGCCUGUAAUCCCAGCACUUUGGGAGGCCGAGGCAGGCGGAUCACUUAAGCUCAGGAGUUCGAAACCAGCCUGGCCAAGAUGGUGAAACCCCAUCUCUACUAAAAAUACAAAAGAUUAGCCGGCUGUGAUGACGCGCACCUGUAAUCUCAGCUACUCGGGAGGCUGAGGCACGAGAAUCGCUUGCACCCAGGAGGUGGAGGCUGCAGUGAGCCGAGAUCACGCCAGGGCACUCCGGCCUGGGCGACAGAGUGAGACUUCGUCUCAAGAAAAACCAAAAAUCCAAAAGAACUACAGGCAUCGGCUGUGUCCCCACUAGGAAGCCGGAGGGGAGCAGGGCUGGGUGUGUCUUCUCUGGCUGCGUCCCUGCGGCCACAAGGCCUGUUCUUCCUCUGUGCCCCGCCUGCCAAGGACCCAGCCUUGUGAAGGAUGGAUGAAUGAAUCAUUGAGCAAAUGAAUGAGUGUGUGAACAGGGAGAGUCUGCAGCAGGGAGACCCCGGCAGCUUCGAGUAUGGAGGGGAGACUCUGGCCGCCUGAGGCACCCGGAAAGGCAGCUCUGUCCCUGCUGAGUCACGCGCACCAUCCUGCAGACGGGAGGGCAUCUUCCUAGGCUUUCCUCCAGCCAAGAGUGGAGCUGGGACCUGGGAACCUCCCUGGAACCACCCCUGCUCUCCGGCAAGGCGUUCCACCAGCCUGUGUCUACACACGUAGCCCCGCAGAGCAGGCUUCGUGAUGCCUGGAGACACCCACUUCCCCUUCCUUCUCCUGGGACUUCUCAGUCACACGGGCUGAGCUGCAGAGGAGCUGGCUGCCAGGUGCUGAGCCGCCCCAAGAAAAAGCCCUCGUGGCAAGAAACUGAGGCCUCCAGCCAGCAGUCAGGGACCCGAGGCCUGAGACGGUGGAGGGUGAGCUUGCAAAGGGACCCCACAGUCGGGCCUUGAGAGGCCCACGGGCCUGGCCCACACCUCGGCUGCAGCCUUGUGAAGGUCCCUGAGCAGGGGACCCAGACUUCUGUCCUACAGAAACUUGGAGAUAAUAAAUGCCUGCUCUUCUACGGCACUGAGUGUCGGGUGAUUUGUUACGGGCAGUAGACAGCUAAUACCUGCCCCUUAGGACACCAAGUCCUCGCCUCCUGGAGGCCCAAGCCCCAGGGAGCCAUGCCUGACUUGCCGCCUGUCGAUGGGCCACGCGUUCCUUGUUGAUGCCAUUCUGGGGUCCCCUCACCCUGACAUACUAGGAGCCAGUUCCGAGGGAGGCUCUUCUGCCACCAACCCUGGCCCAGGGGGACACUGAGCUCCUUGAUGCUGAGGGCCGGUGGUUCCUUAUCGCCUGGCGACCAGCGUGUCCUCCGGGUCCUUUUCCAAUACCAGCACCUCCCAGCUCAAAAACACAACCCAGCACUCCUGUUCCUCCGUCUCCCGGCCCUCCCUCGACACUGGGCCGAGGCAGCCUGUGCACCUGCCCCAAGCUCCCAGGAGCUGACCCAGCAGCGGAUUCGGCCUGGUUCCCGGCAUCCUUACCGGGAUUUGGAAAAUGCUCCUUUCAAUCAAUAAAGGCCCCACGCGGGCCUUCUUCCGCCCUCCCCUCCAGCAUCCUCCAUCUCCAUUUCCACCCGUCCUCCCCGUCCUGCCAGGCCGCAGCUCCUUGCAGAAUAACCCACACCCUCCAGUCGCAGGGACAGAACACCCUAGUUACUGGCCUAGAAUUUUGCGGGGGACGAGGACAGGCAGACCCUAAGGAGGACACUCGCCUCAGGUGAGACCUUUGCAAGGUCCCGGCAGUGGGAGCCACUCCCGCCACUGCGGAGGGAACAGAGGGCAGGGAUCUAAGAGGCUUCUACCCAAAUACCGCAUCCAGGUCAUAGCGUCCCACCCCCCGCUGCCACCGGGGCCCUGACUUCAACACGGGAGGCAGACCAGACGCCACCGCCCUGGGAUCAGAGCUUGGGCCCGAGGGUUGGCCCCGUCUGCACUCUGGCUUUCGGAAUGAGGCUCGCUGUCAAUGCUGUGGUGGAGCUGCAUUCGUUUCCGGGGCUUCUAUAACAAGGUGCCAUAGAACAGGGCUCCAACAGCAGCCCAUUCUCCCACUGUCCUGGAGGCUGGAAGUUCGAGACCAAGGUGCCUGCAGAGUUGGUUCCUCCUGAGGCCUUUCUCCCUGGCUUGUAGAUGGCCCUCUUCUCCUGACUCCUCACACAGAGUCAUCCCUCUGUGUGUAUCUGUGUCCUAGUCUCUCUUCUUUUUCUUUUCGCUUCUUCUUUUUUUUUUUUUGAAGACAGGGUCUCUCUCUCUCUGUCACCCAGGCUGGAGUGCAGUGGUGUUAUCAUAGCUCACUGCAGCCUAGACCUCCCAGGCUCAGGUGAUGCUCCUACCUCAGCCUCCCAAGUAGCUGGGACCACAGACAUGUGUCACCACACCCGACUAAUUUUUUAUAUUUUGUUGUAGAGAUGGGGUCUCACUAUGUUGCCCAGGCUCAACUGGCUUUAAGCCAUCCUCCCACCUCGACCUUCCAAAGUGUUGGGAUUACAGGUGUGAGCCACUGAGCCUGGCCCUUAUCUCUUUUUCUCAGGACACGACUCAGGCCGGGCGUGGUGGCUCAUGCCUAUAAUCCCAGCACAUUGGGAGGCCAAGACGGGCGGAUCACCUGAGGUCAGGAGUUCCAGACCAGCCUGGUCAGCAUGGUGAAACCCCGUCUCUACUAAAAAUAUAAAAAUUAGCCAGGUGUGGUGGCCAGCGCCUGUAAUCCCAGCUACUCGGGAGGCUGAGGCAGGAGAAUCGCUUGAACCCAGGAGGCGGAGGUUGCAGUGAGCCAAGAUCGCACCAUUGCACUCUAGCCUGGGUGACAGAGUGGGACUCCGUCUCAAAAAAUAAAAAAAGUGGGGGAUGGGGGUGGGGGUGGGGGUGGGCCAGGCGCGGUGGCUCACGCCUGUAAUCCCAUCACUUUGGGAGGCCGAGACGGGUGGAUCACCUGAGGUCAGAAGUUCGAGACCAGCCUGACCAACAUGGGGAAACUUCAUCUCUACUAAAAAAUACAAAAAUUAGCCGGGUGUGGUGGUGGGUGCCUGUAAUCCCAGGUGCUCAGGAGGCGAAGCAGAAGAAUCACUUGAACCCAAGAGGUGGAGGUUGCAGUGAGCCAAGCUCGUGACACUGCACUCCAGACUGGGUGACAGAGCAAGACUUCAUUUCAAAGGAAAAAAAAAACAAGGCCAGCGGUCAUGUGGGAACAGGACUCGCUGUAAUCCCCUCUUUAAAGGCCAUAUCUGUAAAUACAG
This 8264-nucleotide long non-coding RNA is filed under the name Homo sapiens (human). RNAcentral's name for it is "HSALNT0246278". Lineage: Eukaryota; Metazoa; Chordata; Mammalia; Primates; Hominidae. The record is from RNAcentral.